Molecule: ribosomal RNA, 253 nt
Filed under: uncultured bacterium
Lineage: Bacteria
Description: partial 16S ribosomal RNA
Rfam family: Bacterial small subunit ribosomal RNA
Source: RNAcentral
UACAGAGGGUGCGAGCGUUAAUCGGAAUUACUGGGCGUAAAGCGCGCGUAGACGGUUUUGUAAGUCAGAUGUGAAAUCCCUGGGCUCAACCUGGGAACUGCAUUUGAGACUGCAUGGCUAGAGUAUGGAAGAGGGAAGUGGAAUUUCCGGUGUAGCGGUGAAAUGCGUAGAUAUCGUAAGGAAGACCAGUGGCGAAGGCGGGUCUCUGGACAGUUCCUGACGCUGAGGCACGAAGGUCAGGGGAGCAAACGGG